UACGGGGGGGGGUAAGCGUUGUUCGGAAUUACUGGGCGUAAAGGGCUCGUAGGCGGCCAACUAAGUCGGACGUGAAAUCCCUCAGCUUAACUGGGGAACUGCGUCCGAUACUGGAUGGCUUGGAUUUGGGAGAGGGAUGCGGAAUUCCAGGUGUAGCGGUGAAAUGCGUAGAUAUCUGGAGGAACACCGGUGGCGAAGGCGGCAUCCUGGACCAAUAUUGACGCUGAGGAGCGAAAGCCAGGGGGAGCAAACGGG
RNAcentral lists this ribosomal RNA (255 nucleotides) under uncultured bacterium. RNAcentral describes it as "partial 16S ribosomal RNA". It matches the Rfam family "Bacterial small subunit ribosomal RNA", at positions 524 to 776 of the family's 1533-position model. The record is from RNAcentral.